Camelus ferus (Wild Bactrian camel) is the source of this 72-nucleotide transfer RNA. It matches the Rfam family "tRNA". Rfam says of the family: Transfer RNA (tRNA) molecules are approximately 80 nucleotides in length. The record is from Rfam. NCBI's taxonomy places the organism in Eukaryota, Metazoa, Chordata, Mammalia, Artiodactyla, Camelidae.
GAGAAUAUAGUUCAGUGGUAGAGUGUGUGCUUAGCAUGCACAAGGUCCUGGGUUCAAUCCCCAGUAACCCCA